GAUGAAGAACGUAGCGAAAUGCGAUAAGUAGUGUGAAUUGCAGAAUUCAGUGAAUCAUCGAAUCUUUGAACUCACAUUGCGCCCCUUGGUAUUCCAUGGGGCAUGCCUGUUCGAGCGUCAUUUGUACCUUCAAGCUUUGCUUGGUGUUGGGUGUUUGUCUCGCCUUUGCGUGUAGACUCGCCUUAAAAUAAUUGGCAGCCGGCGUAUUGAUUUCGGAGCGCAGUACAUCUCGCGCUUUGCACUCAUAACGACAGCGUCCAAAAGUACAUUUUACACUCUUGACCUCGGAUCAGGUAGGGAUACCCGCUGAACUUAAGCAUAUCAAUAAGCGGAGGA
RNAcentral lists this unclassified non-coding RNA (336 nucleotides) under soil metagenome. RNAcentral's name for it is "partial contains 5.8S ribosomal RNA, internal transcribed spacer 2, and large subunit ribosomal RNA". The stretch from base 1 to 120 matches the Rfam family "5.8S ribosomal RNA", at positions 35 to 154 of the family's 154-position model. The record is from RNAcentral.